Molecule: ribosomal RNA, 808 nt
Filed under: uncultured bacterium
Lineage: Bacteria
Description: bacterial SSU rRNA
Rfam family: Bacterial small subunit ribosomal RNA
Source: RNAcentral
CGACGAUCUGUACUUGGUCUGAGAGGAUGACCAGGCACACUGGAACUGAGACACGGUCCAGACUCCUACGGGAGGCAGCAGUGGGGAAUUUUCCGCAAUGGGCGCAAGCCUGACGGAGCAAUACCGCGUGAGGGAGGACGCUUUUUGGAGUGUAAACCUCUUUUAUUAGGGAAGAAAUGAUGACGGUACCUAAUGAAUCAGCAUCGGCUAACUCCGUGCCAGCAGCCGCGGUAAUACGGAGGAUGCAAGCGUUAUCCGGAAUUAUUGGGCGUAAAGCGUCCGUAGGUGGCUUUAUAAGUCUUUUGUCAAAUCGUGCAGCUUAACUGCAUACAGGCAGAGGAAACUAUAGAGCUAGAGUGCGAUAGGGGUCACAGGAAUUCCCAGUGUAGCGGUGAAAUGCGUAGAUAUCGGGAAGAACACCAGCGGCGAAAGCGUGUGACUGGGUCUGCACUGACACUGAGGGACGAAAGCUAGGGGAGCGAAAGGGAUUAGAUACCCCUGUAGUCCUAGCCGUAAACGAUGACAACUAGGUGUGGUUCGUAUCGACCCGAGCCGUGCCGUAGCCAACGCGUUAAGUUGUCCGCCUGGGGGAGUACGCACGCAAGUGUGAAACUCAAAGGAAUUGACGGGGGCCCGCACAAGCGGUGGAGUAUGUGGUUUAAUUCGAUGCAACGCGAAGAACCUUACCAAGGCUUGACAUCCUCGGAAUCCUUGUGAAAGCAGGGAGUGCCUUCGGGAACCGAGAGACAGUGGGUGCAUGGCUUGUUCGUCAGCUCGUGGUCGUGAGAUGUUGGGUUAAGUCCCGCAC